Molecule: long non-coding RNA, 610 nt
Organism: Bombyx mori (domestic silkworm)
Lineage: Eukaryota; Metazoa; Arthropoda; Insecta; Lepidoptera; Bombycidae
Exons: 2
Source: RefSeq, a predicted model, not a curated record
UAUUACGGUUUUACAUAACAAUAAAACCGAUAUUAUGUGCCGAGAAGGAAAACAUACAGCAUUGUAUUAUGAAGAAGCAGUGUGUACUUAGCUUAAAUUCCUUGUCUAUGUCCAACCAUAGACAGUCAAUUUAGUUCCAUCUUUAGCCGCUAGGUGCUGCCAGCAAGUAUAAAGGAAGCGCAGCCAUCUUUGAUCUUCAUAGUCUUCACCAGGAAGAACUUCCUGCAAUGCUGUAUGUUUUCCUUCUCGGCACAUAAUAUCGGUUUUAUUAUGUAAAACCGUAAUAUUGAUGUGCCUUUGGAAAACAUACAGCAUUGUAUUAUGAAGACGUGUUUGUUAUCUGCUGGUGAAAUUAUUAAGCACAACGCUAUGAUGAAAUAGAAAGUCGACAGCGCUGCUUUAUGCAGAAGGAUUGUUUUACAGGCAAAAUUUUCUUUAUGAAAAAGAAGAGAAAAAAGAGAAAAAAAAGAAAACAGAAUUUGGCAACAUCUGCAGACUUAGAAUCAAUUUUAAAACUGUAGCACCAUAUGCACCAUCUUCUAGUUGCUGGUAAGUAUGCUGGCAAAGUGGAUUGACACCAGCUUAUUUUCAAUAAAUCUUCUCCUGUGUA